Long non-coding RNA from Vespa mandarinia (Asian giant hornet), 955 nucleotides. Lineage: Eukaryota; Metazoa; Arthropoda; Insecta; Hymenoptera; Vespidae. The record is from RefSeq and is a predicted model, not a curated record.
UAUAUAUGUUCUUAGAAUAUUUUAAUUAACAUUUUUUCUACUCCAUACUGUGUACAAAAAUUUUUAAAUGCUUAUCGAUAACACGAAAGUAUAGGUUAAGAACGAUGAAAUAAAAUGUAAAGUUUCACUGUUUGCUACACUGCUAAUCGAUUAAUUGUUGAUUGAAGUUAACCAAGCUUAGUUGAAGUGGCCUUAAAAAUGUGCUUUGGUUAUUGAUGUUAUUAUUAUUUAGCGAAAAGAGUAUAAUAUAGUUGGUUGGACAAGAAAAACAAGAGAGGGACAAAACUUUGACUGUGCUGGUUUGUUGAGAGAACACGGAUGAUCGUCUUAAGAACCAAUAGCUCAUUGCACGAGGGUAGGCUUCGGUGUGACAAUCGAUCGUCACGUUGGUACCAGCUGGUGCUCCGACCAAUUGAUUUGGUACGAAAAUCAUUGGAUGACUUUCGGUGCAAGAUAGUCUACAGUGGGAAACGAGUUGGAAACAAAGUCAAUUAUCGUUUGCUCGGGACUCGGAUUGCGAACAUGCUCGAGUUAAAGUCGAACGAUACGAUGUCCCAAGGAUUGUUGUGUUUCUUCUUUUCUUUCUCUUUCUUGCCUUAACGUUGGUUCUUAUACAAUUCGAGUGAUGGAAAAAGUCCGUAGAUGGUUGACCUUUCGUAUUUUGUAAAACGAUAUUCAACGACGAUUUCUUUCGAUCUUUUCUUCUUCUUCGUCGUCUUCUUCUUCUUCUUCUUCUUCUUCUUUCUCUUUCUUUUCUUUCACGUUUGUUUUUAGAGACAUUUGGACUUUGGAAAAUGGUACUGGAAGGUCCAAAAAGGAUUUUCUUUGACGUAUCAUUGUAAUAAAGGAACUCCCAUUUUCAUAAUUGUAUCUGAACUGUUAAAAGAAUAUAACGAAAGUGUCGUACCAUUUUCUUUCGAAAUAUCAACUCGAUUAAUCGUUAUAAAAUAUUUGA